CCUACGGGAGGCAGCAGUGAGGAAUAUUGGUCAAUGGGCGCGAGCCUGAACCAGCCAAGUAGCGUGAAGGAUGACUGCCCUAUGGGUUGUAAACUUCUUUUAUAUAGGAAUAAAGUGAGCCACGUGUGCCGUUUUGUAUGUACCUUAUGAAUAAGGAUCGGCUAACUCCGUGCCAGCAGCCGCGGUAAUACGGAGGAUCCGAGCGUUUUCCGGAUUUAUUGGGUUUAAAGGGAGCGUAGUUGGGUUGUUAAGUCAGUUGUGAAAGUUUGCGGCUCAACCGUAAAAUUGCAGUUGAUACUGGCAGCCUUGAGUACUGUAGAGGUAGGCGGAAUUCGUGGUGUAGCGGUGAAAUGCUUAGAUAUCACGAAGAACUCCGAUUGCGAAGGCAGCUUACUAGACUGCCACUGACAUUGAUGCUCGAAAGUGUGGGUAUCAAACAGGAUUAGAUACCCGAGUAGUC
This 460-nucleotide ribosomal RNA is filed under the name uncultured bacterium. Its description in RNAcentral is "partial 16S ribosomal RNA". It matches the Rfam family "Bacterial small subunit ribosomal RNA", at positions 338 to 795 of the family's 1533-position model. The record is from RNAcentral.